UACGUAGGGUGCGAGCGUUGUCAGGAAUUAUUGGGCGUAAAGAGCUCGUAGGCGGUCUGUCGCGUCGGUCGUGAAAACUUGGGGCUUAACCCUGAGCUUGCGGUCGAUACGGGCAUGACUGGAGUUCGGCAGGGGAGACUGGAAUUCCUGGUGUAGCGGUGAAAUGCGCAGAUAUCAGGAGGAACACCGGUGGCGAAGGCGGGUCUCUGGGACGGUACUGACGCUGAGACGCGAAAGCGUGGGGAGCGAACAGG
RNAcentral lists this ribosomal RNA (254 nucleotides) under uncultured bacterium. RNAcentral describes it as "partial 16S ribosomal RNA". It matches the Rfam family "Bacterial small subunit ribosomal RNA", at positions 524 to 776 of the family's 1533-position model. The record is from RNAcentral.